RNAcentral lists this long non-coding RNA (801 nucleotides) under Trifolium pratense (red clover). RNAcentral's name for it is "long non-coding RNA (TPRA_LNC008685)". Lineage: Eukaryota; Viridiplantae; Streptophyta; Magnoliopsida; Fabales; Fabaceae. The record is from RNAcentral.
UUACCAUUGAUCUUGGUUUUUUCUUGUAGUGAUUAUUCAAGCUUUUUUAUUAUUAUUUGAAUAUUUGCUCUCUAAUUUUUUAUUUUUUUUUCCAUAAUAGAUAUCUUCUUAAAAAUACAGUGUUGUUGUUCUGUAAAUUUUAUGAACAUCUUUUGCUAUUUUUAACUUUUUUACACCCCCUGUUAUUUAUUCUGCACCCCCGACCUUUUAAUUUAUUUUUCAAUCAUAAAAAUAUCCUUCUUUUUUUAACAUAAAAAAACUAUAAAAAAAUUGAACUCAUCAAAUCAAAUUUUUGCCUUCGUGCGAUCAGAAAAAUCAAACUUUAUUUCUUUCGUGCCCAUGUCCACUCAAUUAUUUUUCUCAAACAGAUACUAUCCCCCAAGUGCGAGUCUGUCCUUAAAUAAACCAAAUCAUUUUUAUAAGCACCUAUUUAUACUUUUAAUGCAUAUUAAAUAAUUUGUAGUGUAAUUUGCAUAUUUUUUUGUAUGUUAAAAUUACUAUAUUAGUAAGGGUCAUGCUAAAGAGUGUCCUCGGGGCACUUGUUAAGCAUACAAAGAAAGGAAAUAAAAAAUAAAAUUAAUAUUGAAAUGAUAACUUUUGAUACUUUGUAUUGAAUGCACGCAUUUCAUGGCAUAAUUUCUAUUUUUAAAAGUUUAACCAGUGCCCGGGGCACUGUUUAGCAUUUUUCUAUGUGGGAUAAAAUACGACAGUGGUAGUGUAACUUACAUGGGACAAAUUAUGCUACUCAUUCAUAGAACUCAUAACAAUCUAAAAAUAACAAUCAUAUAUAUUAAAUAAAUC